UUACUCUUUAACACUCAUGCUGAAGUUCUGAUAUUUUGUUGAAAUCCAUUGUUUUACUCUUUGCAUAUUUGUUGGCUCUUUGCAUAUUAAUAUAUUAGACUACAUGCAAAUACAGUCUGUCUUGCCAUUGUCUGUUGAAGUGCAGGUUUGAUCCAGCCAGUAUAGAACUAGCUCUGUAGGGGUGAGGAGGACUGUGCUGUGUAUCAUCCUUGAUUGUGUUCCUUCAAGGAGCAUUGCACUUGCCUUCCCAGACCUUCCACCUUAGGUUCUGCUGCAAAAAGCACCAGUGCUGAAGAUGCUGCAAGCACCAAAUCAUAGCUCAUAAAAUCAGGUCCUGAGAUAGUUACCCAUAAAGAGGAAUCCUUUGAGUGUAUGCCAUUGGUGAGCCGAUGAGCAUGGACCAUAGAAGGGCUCAAUGUAGAAGAAACUACCCGUGUGUAAAAAGAAGAUUGGCUUAAAAUGGCUACUGUGAUGGGAACAGUGUCUUAGGGAGAUGCAGCUUGGACUUGAGGUAAAUUGAAUACUUUACAACUGUGGUUUAGAGUUUGCUUUAAUGACAUUGUAUGUAAAAGGUCACAUGAUUGCUGUAAUUUUGUAUUCAUUAUGGUUUCCUCAAUAAAUGUACAUUGAUGAAUAUUA
RNAcentral lists this small RNA (639 nucleotides) under Pan troglodytes (chimpanzee). RNAcentral describes it as "processed transcript". Lineage: Eukaryota; Metazoa; Chordata; Mammalia; Primates; Hominidae. The record is from RNAcentral.